This 730-nucleotide long non-coding RNA is filed under the name Callithrix jacchus (white-tufted-ear marmoset). RNAcentral's name for it is "lncRNA (ENSCJAG00000082839.1)". The record is from RNAcentral. Lineage: Eukaryota; Metazoa; Chordata; Mammalia; Primates; Cebidae.
AUGUUUGGAGUCAUUCCAAGAAAAAGAGAGAAAAAAAAAUUCUGGUCAAUGGAGAGACGGGACCACAUUGAAAGAGAUCAGAAGACAUUCCUUUCCUGCAGCAAUAAGGAGGACACCCCUGGCUGUAAUGAGAGUCUGAUGAGCUGCUUCAAGGGAAAGGGUGAGGAGAGUGAUUGUUACUUUCUUACCGAUGACAUACCCAGCCCUAUCUCAUUUCUCCAACCACUUGAAAAAAGUUUAUUGACAUAGACACUCAAAUGGGAACCAAGGCCCUCAUGUUAAUGUCAAGACCUGGAGGAUGAAACCAGUGAGUGUCGUUUUUGGCUGCUUUAUAGGAAUCAGUUAAGAAACACUCGUGUUCACUCAGUUCUUUUUUUUCUGCUCUUAGGACACUGUUUAGCAUAUUUUUAAUAGAGUUCCAUUAAAUCUUUCUAACUUUUGGUCCUCUGGGGCUAAGGAACUGCCUUUGAUGUUUUUAUUUUCGCCAUUCAAAACAUUUCUACAUUAUAAACAACUCUCAAAAUUUCUUUUUUACUCAGAAUGCAGAUGGAGUGGGAAAUUCAUAAACUGAAAAAAAUUAUUUGCAUCAUUCAAGAGUGUAGAUUUUCUAAGCUUACUGGAUAUACUGUGGUUAUUGAAGCAUCCCGCCAGGUGGGACAAGUAUGUUGCAAAGCUUAUGCUGUUCAGUUGUUCAGACAGAACGACUGGGAGCUUUUAUGUACAUAAAUGC